CAGUUCGGACUGUAGGCUGCAACUCGCCUACACGAAGUCGGAAUCGCUAGUAAUCGCGGAUCAGCAUGCCGCGGUGAAUACGUCCCCGGGCCUUGUACACACCGCCCGUCACACCAUGGGAGUUUGUAACGCCCAAAGUCGGUGGCCUAACCUUUAUGGAGGGAGCCGCCUAAGGCGGGACAGAUGACUGGGGUGAAGUCGUAACAAGGUACC
This 213-nucleotide ribosomal RNA is filed under the name uncultured bacterium. RNAcentral describes it as "partial 16S ribosomal RNA". It matches the Rfam family "Bacterial small subunit ribosomal RNA", at positions 1289 to 1500 of the family's 1533-position model. The record is from RNAcentral.